UCAGUUCCAAAACAGUGAGAAAGCUGAAGAGAGGGUUCCAUGGUGUUCUUGAGUAAUUAAGGUGCGUUUCAAACGAUUUCUACAGUUAAAAUUUGCCCUCGUGCCUAGAAACAUAAUCUCUACCCUUUUCAAUCGUUUUCCCCUUCUAUUAGCGGUGUUUGGAGAUACUCUUGGAAGAUAGGAAUCUGUUGUUCUUGCUGGUUCUUCAGGAUUUAUACUAUGUUUGCCAAGGUAAUCAUCUAGGGACUCUUUUAUGAGCGUUUUUACAAAGUUCUACGGAUGUUUCGUCAAGUUAGGGUCAUAUGGCAAAUUUGCCAAUUUAAACUCAAUUACGAAUUUUUUAUAGGUUCGUAUAAGCUACAUAUAUACAUAUACAUAUACAUAUAUACAUAUACAUAUAUACAUAUACAUAUACAUAUAUACAU
This 425-nucleotide long non-coding RNA is filed under the name Nicotiana benthamiana. Its description in RNAcentral is "long non-coding RNA (NBEN_LNC029400)". Lineage: Eukaryota; Viridiplantae; Streptophyta; Magnoliopsida; Solanales; Solanaceae. The record is from RNAcentral.